GUCGACGAUUACUCCUACGGGAGGCAGCAGUAAGGAAUAUUGGUCAAUGGACGAAAGUCUGAACCAGCCAUGCCGCGUGAGGGAUGAAUGCCCUCUGGGUUGUAAACUUCUUUUAUAUGGGACGAAAAAAAUGACGGUAGCCAAGGAGGAAGCCCCGGCUAACUACGUGCCAGCAGCCGCGGUAAUAAUCUCUAGA
RNAcentral lists this ribosomal RNA (196 nucleotides) under uncultured bacterium. Its description in RNAcentral is "partial 16S ribosomal RNA". It matches the Rfam family "Bacterial small subunit ribosomal RNA", at positions 325 to 531 of the family's 1533-position model. The record is from RNAcentral.